Molecule: non-coding RNA, 68 nt
Filed under: bovine gut metagenome
Description: Glycine riboswitch
Rfam family: Glycine riboswitch aptamer
About the family: This family represents the bacterial glycine riboswitch. Glycine riboswitches usually consist of two metabolite-binding aptamers domains with similar structures in tandem.
Source: RNAcentral
GACCCGAGAGAGACCGCCCCGUGCGGCGCCGAAGGGGAACGCGAAAACUCUCAGGCAAAAGGAUCGGA